Molecule: microRNA precursor, 86 nt
Filed under: Ovis aries (sheep)
Lineage: Eukaryota; Metazoa; Chordata; Mammalia; Artiodactyla; Bovidae
Description: miRNA (ENSOARG00000023285.1)
Rfam family: lin-4 microRNA precursor family (bases 9-77)
About the family: The extents of the hairpin precursors are not generally known and are estimated based on hairpin prediction.
Source: RNAcentral
UGCCGGCCUCUGCGUCCCUGAGACCCUUUAACCUGUGAGGAUGUCCAGGGUCACAGGUGAGGUUCUUGGGAGCCUGGCGUCCGGCC